Molecule: unclassified non-coding RNA, 208 nt
Filed under: Hevea brasiliensis (rubber tree)
Lineage: Eukaryota; Viridiplantae; Streptophyta; Magnoliopsida; Malpighiales; Euphorbiaceae
Source: RNAcentral
GGGAAUAGUCGGUCAAGGUGUGAACAAGUGUAAAUAUUCUGACUUUUUAGAGCAAUUCCAUUGAUGGGUAGUGUUAGAUUUCGAGUGUUUUUGCUUGUAGUCGUUCAAAAUCUGAGUGUUUCUUUAUUUUUUUUUUUGAAAAUUUUUGAGCUUAGUGGUAAUGUGAUUAAACAUCGGAGUAGUUUUGGUAUUUGUGGUUUAGAUUUUC